CAGAGAGCUGUCGGUGGAAUUUGUCCCUACCUUAUCCUCUCACCGAGUCGCCCAUCGACCACCGCUCGUUCCCCUCCCGAUUUUCUUCGCUUUUUCUCCGUCCCCUCCAUCAGCGCCUCCCUCCCACCCGCAUCUUCUUCCACCUCCUCCCAUCCAUCCGAGCUCCUUCCCUUCCACCUCCCAUCCGUCGACGCCAACGCCGGCGGUGCGGCGGCCAACCUGGCCCAUGCGCUGCCGCCACCGGUGCCCAACCUGGCCCGUGCGGUGGGGGCACCGCCGGGGAAGCGAAUCGAGGUGGUGUGGGAGCGGGAGAACACGCUGCUCUCGUUCGGCCGGGCCGCCGCGCACACCGCCGUCGCCUUCGUCGAGUUCAACGUCCAGCCAUCCAGUGACAAGCAAAUCAGGAGGGCCGCGCCAGCUCGGAGUGCAUCCUCGCUUGGGAGUACAAUGUUGCACGAUUGGCUUCGGGCUAUUUCAGAGUAUGAGAAGCCAAGCAUCGACAUGGCAACCAUCGAGAAGGCAUGGGCCGAUGAGAAAAAGGCAAUCGCUGAUGCGGACUAUGAGGGAAAUCCAAGCAAGGUGAACACAAGCUCCGAGAAGAAGGCAUGUGUCGACGAGGGGAAGUCAAUCUCCGAUGCAGAAACUGAUGAUGAGGGCGUCGGUGUGCCUGAGAAGAAGGCAUGCAUCGCCGAGGGAAAGUCAAUCUCCGACGCAGAGACUGAUGAUGAGGGCGUCGGUGUGCCUCAGAAUUUACAGAUGAAAGAUUUGCACGAUAUCAUGUUUCCUACCUGCUGAAUGUGAUUGUGUUGUGGUAUUUUAUUGUGGAAAUGCACAAUGGACGUAGGAGUACUUAGUGCAAUAUGGAUGUAGGACUACCAUGUUUAUAAGUGUACAAAUUACCGUAGUGUUCCAUAUGGUUGCCAGACUAGUACGAAGUAUUUUGUUAUGAAAUUAGUGCUGAAUUAAAUAUAGAAUCACAUAUUGCU
RNAcentral lists this long non-coding RNA (986 nucleotides) under Oryza sativa Indica Group (long-grained rice). RNAcentral describes it as "lncRNA OsKYG_07g0028950". Lineage: Eukaryota; Viridiplantae; Streptophyta; Magnoliopsida; Poales; Poaceae. The record is from RNAcentral.